Molecule: ribosomal RNA, 342 nt
Filed under: Austrolebias bellottii
Lineage: Eukaryota; Metazoa; Chordata; Actinopteri; Cyprinodontiformes; Rivulidae
Description: partial 12S ribosomal RNA
Rfam family: Bacterial small subunit ribosomal RNA
Source: RNAcentral
GCCUGAAAACUACAAGCGUAAGCUCAAAACUCAAAGGGUCUGGCGGCACUUUAAACUAUCUAGAGGAGCCUGUCCUAUAAUCGAUAACCCCCGUUAAACCUCACCUUCUUUGGCUAUCAGCCUGUAUACCGCCGUCGUCAGCUUACCCCCUAAAGGUUUCACAAGUAAGCAAAACUGGCUUUGCCCAAAACGUCAGGUCGAGGUGCAGCUUACAAGAAGGGAAGAGAUGGGCUACAUUUCCUAGGAAAUACGAAUAGUACACUGAAAUGUGUACAUUGAAGGAGGAUUUAGAAGUAAGUAAAAAAUAGAGUGUUUUACUGAAAAAGGUCUUAAAGUGCGUAC